CAUUCCUUUUGUAAUUUAGAAAAGGAAGGGGGGCAAAAUAGGCAUUUCAAAAGAGGACACCAUUGCUCCCCCCUUCCCUUAUAUAAUAGAGAUGAAUUAAGGGUAAUUAUUUUUGGUUAAAUAAUAAUAAUACAAAAAGAAAAAGAAAACAAUGAAAGAAAAAAAGGAGAAGGUAGUAGAAUUAAACUCAAAGUUGACUUCCCUCUUCUAGCUUCCUACAUACAUGGAAACUAUUCAUGUAAUUUACAUACUUGGCAACAAUUCAUGCAACUACAUACAUGGCAACUAUUUGACUUUCCUCUUCUACCUUCCUAAAUGCGAAAAAGGAGUCAUGUCUGCUCUUCUGAUUAUAACUUUUGAUGUGCUUGUUAGAAUCAAAUAAUUCCAAUAGAUUUAGAAACUAGACUUUAAGGGACUUCCAAUGAUAGGUAGCACCCCCGAGGAGACUUCAAUUCAAAGAGUUAUGCCUUUCGAAAAAUUGCACUGUUUCUGCUAAAUCUGCCAUGCCGCGCGGAUUACUAAUCCGCCAAUUAAUGAUUUAUUCAAGACUUUCUUUAUCUUGUAAAUUACUUUCCUAGUCAUAUGGGAUUACUUAAUAUUAUUUAGAAGAGAUUAGCUUUUCAUUCUUUCUCUCUCCUUCCUUUUACACGUUAGUUUUUAUUAUCUAAGUUUAGUUUUAGUUUUCUCUCCCUUUUCUCUCUAGUUUUUUUAGUUGCAAACCCUACUUUUUCAUGUUCUUCAUUAAUUAAUGAUUUUUAUUUAUUUCUUUCAUUGAUUUAUCUAAUUAUGUUGUCUUCGGUAGAUGAAGUUUUUAUUCGUUGUUUUAUGAUUGAGUAGCCUUAUUUUCUAGGGUUUGGGAAUCCAUGUUUAUAUAAUAUGAUUAUUGAUUGAUAUUUAUUGAUGGUUUGAUUAGUUACUUAUAUCUCUAAUUGAUUUAAUGUUUUUAUUUUUAAUCUUGCAAUCUGAUCAAUUUUUUUAUUAAAUAUUGGUAAUACCGAGUCAUAGAUCGAGAAAUAGUACUCUUUAGAGGCUUACCUACAGUUAGCAAAUCUGAUUAGGUUGAGUGACCAUACUAGCAUAUGUUGAUUUGCGAGCGUUAAGACCUGACCGUAGGAUUAACCUGUGCUCUAGAUAUCUGAUUAAUUGAACUAUUGAUGAUAUUUUGAUAGAUUACAGUUAUAAACAUGGUGAACCAUUAUCCUAGAUCCUUUUUAGUUUGAUUUUCGUAGUUUGAUUAGUUUGGAACUUUCAUUCAUAUAUUUUUGAUCUUGUUUAGUUUCUCUAUACCUUAGAAACUAAAUUAAAUACGACCAUGUCUCUGUGGAUUCGACCCUACUUACCCUUCUACAUUGUUAGAAUGUUUUGAAGGAAUUAUUUUUGACAGGUGUACGACAGCCUAUCAGUGCUAGAUGUCCGACGGAGCCUUGCCAUCACACGUGAACUGUCGCCACGCCACCGGUGGCCCCCUCGCUGCGGGGCUGCACUGGUCGACCCUGGUCACUUGAGCAGAGGUAUGAACGGGGAAGACAGAAUGACGUAUCAGUGAGGAGUAUUCUAGUUCUUAAGCUUUCAUAAACACUUAUGGUUAUAUUCAGACUAUAUUUUACAGGUUGAUAUGAUGCAUACUUCAUAUGGGGGAGCUAGUGAGGAAUCAUAAUUAGUCAAGGAGUUGUUAUUUUAUUUUAUUUAUUUGUAUUGUUAUAUAGUUGUACAAUAAAAUUUAUAUUAAUAAAGAGAAGUUAUUUAAGUUA
Beta vulgaris subsp. vulgaris (sugar beet) is the source of this 1751-nucleotide long non-coding RNA. RefSeq lists it as uncharacterized. The record is from RefSeq and is a predicted model, not a curated record. NCBI's taxonomy places the organism in Eukaryota, Viridiplantae, Streptophyta, Magnoliopsida, Caryophyllales, Amaranthaceae. The transcript is spliced from 3 exons.